AGGACUAGUUUUUCCUUGCACUUGGCUUAUCCAAUAAACCAAUUGGACUUGAUCCAAUCAAGCCCAAACUAAAUCUAAUUAAAUCAUAUUUAAUUAUACUUAAUCUCAAUCUAUUGGCUUAAUCAAAUUAAGUCAAUUAACAAUCGAAUUGCUAAUCGAUCCUCCUGCAACACUUGCACUGGGUUAAAUGUCAAUCGUAUUGAUCAUUUAACCCUAGAACGAUUCUUAAUCAUUGAUCAACCAUCCAAUCGGAUCCUGAACACUAAUGUGUGUGAUCUCAUAGGUCCGAACCUAAGUCAGUAGUACAGGAAUAAAUUUUUAUACCAAUUGAAGUGACCAUCUAGCAAUGGUACCCGACGAUCGGAUAGGUCGAAUGUGUAGAACAACAUCCUUAGAACCCAUGCGGAUAUAGUUUUCAUAUAAUUCAUCCCUUUGACCAAAAUGAUCAUAGGACACCCCAGAGUUCAACUGUCAACUCUGAUCAGGUUGUCCAUAUUAUAUUUC
Molecule: long non-coding RNA, 504 nt
Filed under: Elaeis guineensis (African oil palm)
Lineage: Eukaryota; Viridiplantae; Streptophyta; Magnoliopsida; Arecales; Arecaceae
Description: long non-coding RNA (EGUI_LNC075865)
Source: RNAcentral